UGGGGAAUUUUCCGCAAUGGGCGAAAGCCUGACGGAGCAAUGCCGCGUGGAGGUGGAAGGCCUACGGGUCGUCAACUUCUUUUCUCGGAGAAGAAACAAUGACGGUAUCUGAGGAUAAGCAUCGGCUAACUCUGUGCCAA
This 140-nucleotide ribosomal RNA is filed under the name uncultured bacterium. RNAcentral describes it as "partial 16S rRNA". It matches the Rfam family "Bacterial small subunit ribosomal RNA", at positions 355 to 511 of the family's 1533-position model. The record is from RNAcentral.